RNAcentral lists this ribosomal RNA (283 nucleotides) under uncultured bacterium. RNAcentral's name for it is "partial 16S ribosomal RNA". It matches the Rfam family "Bacterial small subunit ribosomal RNA", at positions 333 to 632 of the family's 1533-position model. The record is from RNAcentral.
AAGGUCCUACGGGGCGCAGCAGUGGGGAAUAUUGCACAAUGGGGGAAACCCUGAUGCAGCAACGCCGCGUGAGUGAAGAAGUAUUUCGGUAUGUAAAGCUCUAUCAGCAGGGAAGAAGAAAGACGGUACCUGACUAAGAAGCCCCGGCUAACUACGUGCCAGCAGCCGCGGUAAUACGUAGGGGGCAAGCGUUAUCCGGAUUUACUGGGUGUAAAGGGAGCGUAGACGGCAUAGCAAGUCUGAAGUGAAAGCCCGUGGCUCAACCGCGGCACUGCUUUGGAAA